UCCAUCAUCAUCACCAUUAAUUAAGGCGAGGAAGUCUAGCAAUCGAGGAAGAUAUCCCCAUUCGACCGCCUCCUAGCUCCCAUGUAUCCCCAUUCUUCCUCCAUAGCCCGCGCUCGCCCGGCCGCUGCAGCCUCGCCGCCCCAUCCCCCUAUGCCGGCCCUCCCCAACGCCGCUUCCCCACGCCACCAUCCGCGGUCCCCCGAAACCCCAGCUGCUCCUCUUCAAGCAACGCAACGCAUCGAGGACGACGCGGCUCUGCCGGAACGGCACCGGCUGGGCCUCGUCGGACGACUAACCGUCUGCGGCCGUCUUCUUCUCGUCCGCGGAAUCAAGCGCCGCCCCUCCUAGCCGUCCCAGGCCACCGGACACAUCGACUUCUCAUCGACAAGGUAGAGGAGGACGGCCACAGGGAGGAUGGUUGAAAACAGGUUGGUCAUGAGGAGCUGCUGACGUCGCCGUCCGGAGUGGGGAGCCGGGAGUGGGCGCACAAGACGAGUAGGCCAUCCAGUCCAGUCUCGACCUCGUCGUCCAGCCCCGUGAAAGAGCUCUGUCACGGGCAAGGGCGAGGCUUCUUGAACAAGCAGGCACUUCCGGCCUCGACGUUGUUGUUUCGAUCCUGCCCGGCCAAGCGCGAGCACUUCUCCCGAUUCAGAAUAAACUCUAGAUGGGGAUCGAUGUGGUAAUCUUGAUCUUCAGCCUGCUGCCAGCCCUAACCUACGGUGACACGGAAAUGGAAGCAAGUAGGCGUCCACCUAGGCGCUUCAGUCCAUGAACGCCCAGCUGCAAAGCCACCGUCUCCCAUCGGCUUCUCGCUCUAGGGCUCGAGGCCUGCAAGGACUUGCUGCCGACAACACGGGUCGCUGACGCGGACCAAGAGUCGCCUUCCAGGCCCUCCACCAGCACGUUGCAGCAACCCCCUCAAUUCCGGUUAUGCUCCACCGAGAGCAAGACCACCACAGUACAAGAAGAUAUACGGGGAUAAAUCUUUGCCAGUGGCAGCGGUGGCCUCUUCUUGGUCUUAAUGUUGUAGACAUACGGGGAUAAAUCUUUGCCAGUGGCAGCGGUGGCCUCUUCUUGGUCUUAAUGUUGUAGAGAAUGUGGCAGCGGUGGCCUCUUCUUGGUCUUAAUGUUGUAGCAUUUAUCCUCUGUCCAAGUAAGAAGAACAGAUCAAGCGCCACCAUGGUGCUGUCAUUGUGGAGCGCUGAGUACGCAAGCCCUGCCGUGGCACUGUACGAGCCGAGCUUCUUCAACCAGUGGUAGUCGCUAGAGCAGUACAAAGAGGAGCGGAUUGACAUGGCACACAUGAAGGGGAGAAAUGGAUGUGGCCCUGAUGCAGUAGCGGUAGUGGAGUAUUAAAGAUGGAGAUGGCCAGGAGGUAGCCAUGGUUUCGACUACUUCAACUUCCCUUGCUGCCAUGUGAUGGAGGCGAGUUCACUGUGUUGCAGCCAUGGCAGCGUCCGCUUUCUUCUAGGACUCCAUGCUCUAGCUUAUUGUGUUCCACGGCCUCCUCACUGGUAGACUUGUAUGCGAGAAGGUCAAUCCGGGCAGUGCAGCAGGCGUUCCGGAGCGAGAUGAUGGUGACGAGGAUGCCCAAACGUUUGGACAUGAGCUGGAUGAGAAGCUUUCCAUGAUCAAGUGCUGUCCCGCAGCUGUGUUGUCCAGUAGCACAAGUGCUGUCCUCGGCGGCGCUUAUGAGAAGUCCAAGAAGAAGGAGCAAUCAAGUCUCUCAUCUGGAGGUAUAUCUUUCAAAGGCUUCCCUUGAGGAAAGAGGGCCGGUAUGGAUGACAUCCUCAAUGACCUUACCUCAUGGCGGCCCUUUUGACAAAGAGGUUAUGACGGCUCUUCAGGAUGGUGCACUGGAUACUGAUAGUCUGAUGCACGUUGUGAACCACUUGGAAAGAUAUACAUACACAUCGACUGGAUGGCCAGAGCAGCAACUACACAUGUAUUGAGGACUUGGGAGCAUUUGGUCCCGCUUACAGGUAGUAUGGAAUGAUACAUCGACUCUGGGCAUUUCUUGUGUGCCAUCUCUACAUUUUAUGAAGAAAAUACCAGUUGUGUUUUUGUAUUUCAGCGGAGAAAUGGAGCCGGCCAGCAGAGCUGGCUCUGGUCGCUGGAUCCAGCCAGCAAGUAGCCUGUGGGUUUUGGUACUUUUCUGGUUGCCUAUUGUGUUGUCUGGGAUCAAUCGUGUGGGAGUGCAAUGAAUGCUUCUUUUCACUAAUACCAGUUAUGGUGAGAUACAUAGCGAGCAACCAGCACUAUUUCGGUUGAGCUCAUCAUGCCUGGUGGUCUAGAUUAUAGUUUUUUUAUAAUAAGGUGAGUUGUGAAUUCAGGUAUAGCAUUUACAGCAUUUUGCAUUAUUGUGCCUUGGAAACUUCUCAUUUUCCAUUAUAAUAUCCCAAUGAUAGGCUCAGUGAAAUUCCAAAGUUUGAGAUGGUCUGCUUGUCUUUUAGUUGAGAUAUGAAGCUAUCUUCAUCUACAUUCCAGAGUGCCAGCCUGCUACAUAGAACCUUGUACAUACUGGCUGCAUAUUAACCUAAGAGCCAAAACACCAUGUCCUAAAUCAUCAUGCUAUUAGGCUCUGUAUCCACUUUAUACCAGUCGAGUCUGGUAAAUAAAAGUGAAAAAAUGGCUAAUCUGAAUGUGGUUUCGUCUCUCAUUAAUAACUGACUAAUAUGUUCUACUCCAUCAUCCUAUACCUAGUAGUAGCACAUGGAGUGACACAUGGCUUGUCUGAAAGAAAUCAUUUUUGCUAUUGUUGUUUUUCCUUUUUGUAAUGGACAGAAAACCAGUGAGUAAUGCUCUGGUUGUGUCGUGUGGGUUGUUUAGUCAAAACCCUCCUUGAAAUCUAUCUAUUCUUGCUAGAUGUUCUCUAGAAGUGACCAAGAUGGCUUGUUUUUGUGCAAGGAUGAUGACGAGGACUAGAUGGCAGCCAGGGUAGCAGCUGUGACCUGUAGCUGCUGCAGCUUGGUGCAUCUUACUCGGAUGGCAGCUGGAAGACUCGUGGGACAAUGGGCAUCAGCAGCUGGAAGACUCGUGGGACAAUGGGCAGCGGCAGCUGGAAGACUCGUGGGACAAUGGACAUCUUCAUAUAUACGGCUUGGUCGUUGAACAAUCUCUAAGCAGAUGCAGCUUUCUUUCUAGCUCCUUAUUUAUCUCUGCAUUAUUUAUGGUUGCAACCGAGCUUUGAGAUUUGAGAGCAUCUUGUAACCUGGCAUGUAUGUGUUGUACGUAACCGUCCCAACUUUCAUUGAUGUUUGUUGUUUGGUAUUGCACUAUUUUUGUUUGAUUAUUCCUUUGGGGAGGUUGAUUGUAGGACUGAAUGUCAAAUGAGUUGUGAUGUGUGCACUCUA
RNA transcript from Lolium perenne, 3353 nucleotides. RefSeq lists it as uncharacterized. The record is from RefSeq and is a predicted model, not a curated record. Lineage: Eukaryota; Viridiplantae; Streptophyta; Magnoliopsida; Poales; Poaceae.